Molecule: ribosomal RNA, 254 nt
Filed under: uncultured bacterium
Lineage: Bacteria
Description: partial 16S ribosomal RNA
Rfam family: Bacterial small subunit ribosomal RNA
Source: RNAcentral
UACGUAGGGGGCGAGCGUUGUCCGGAUUUAUUGGGCGUAAAGAGCUCGUAGGCGGUUCGGUAAGUCAGAUGUAAAAACUCCAGGCUCAACUUGGAGAGGCCAUCUGAUACUGCCGUGACUAGAGUUCGGUAGAGGAGCACGGAAUUCCUGGUGUAGCGGUGAAAUGCGUAGAUAUCCGGAGGAACACCGGUGGCGAAGGCGGCUUCCUGGACCGACACUGACGCUGAGGCGCGAAAGCUAGGGGAGCAAACGGG